GGGCGUGUAGCUCAGUUGGUUAGAGCGCACGGUUCACAUCCGUGAGAUCUGUGGUUCGAAUCCGCACACGCCCA
This 74-nucleotide transfer RNA is filed under the name Patescibacteria group bacterium. RNAcentral's name for it is "tRNA-Val". It matches the Rfam family "tRNA". From Rfam's summary of the family: Transfer RNA (tRNA) molecules are approximately 80 nucleotides in length. Their secondary structure includes four short double-helical elements and three loops (D, anti-codon, and T loops). Further hydrogen bonds mediate the characteristic L-shaped molecular structure. tRNAs have two regions of fundamental functional importance: the anti-codon, which is responsible for specific mRNA codon recognition, and the 3' end, to which the tRNAs corresponding amino acid is attached (by aminoacyl-tRNA synthetases). tRNAs cope with the degeneracy of the genetic code in two manners: having more than one tRNA (with a specific anti-codon) for a particular amino acid; and 'wobble' base-pairing, i.e. permitting non-standard base-pairing at the 3rd anti-codon position. The record is from RNAcentral.